This 253-nucleotide ribosomal RNA is filed under the name uncultured bacterium. RNAcentral's name for it is "partial 16S ribosomal RNA". It matches the Rfam family "Bacterial small subunit ribosomal RNA", at positions 524 to 776 of the family's 1533-position model. The record is from RNAcentral.
UACGUAGGGUGCGAGCGUUAAUCGGAAUUACUGGGCGUAAAGCGUGCGCAGGCGGCGCGUUAAGACAGGUGUGAAAGCCCCGAGCUUAACUUGGGAAUUGCGCUUGUGACUGGCGUGCUGGAGUGUGGCAGAGGGAGGUGGAAUUCCACGUGUAGCAGUGAAAUGCGUAGAGAUGUGGAGGAACACCGAUGGCGAAGGCAGCCUCCUGGGCCAGCACUGACGCUCAUGCACGAAAGCGUGGGGAGCAGACAGG